UACAGAGGGUGCGAGCGUUGUUCGGAAUUACUGGGCGUAAAGCGCGCGCAGGCGGCCUUUUAAGUCUACCCGUGAAAUGCCGGAGCUCAACUCCGUGCACGCCGGGGGAUACUGGGAGGCUGGAGACAGGUAGAGGCAAGCGGAAUUCCGGGUGUAGCGGUGGAAUGCGUAGAUAUCUGGAGGAACACCGGUGGCGAAGGCGGCAUCCUGGACCGGCAUUGACGCUGAGGAGCGAAAGCCAGGGGAGCAAACGGG
Molecule: ribosomal RNA, 255 nt
Filed under: uncultured bacterium
Lineage: Bacteria
Description: partial 16S ribosomal RNA
Rfam family: Bacterial small subunit ribosomal RNA
Source: RNAcentral